RNAcentral lists this ribosomal RNA (300 nucleotides) under uncultured cyanobacterium. Its description in RNAcentral is "bacterial SSU rRNA". It matches the Rfam family "Bacterial small subunit ribosomal RNA", at positions 114 to 424 of the family's 1533-position model. Lineage: Bacteria; Bacillati; Cyanobacteriota. The record is from RNAcentral.
CGCGUAAGAAUCUACCUUUAGGAGGGGGAGUAACAGUUGGAAACGAACUGCUAAUUCCCACUAUGCUGAGGAGUGAAAUAGGUGAAUAACCGCCUAGAGAUGAGCUUGCGUCUGAUUAGCUAGUUGGUAAGGUAAUGGCUUACCAAGGCGAUGAUCAGUAGCUGGUCUGAGAGGAUGAUCAGCCACACUGGGACUGAGACACGGCCCAGACUCCUACGGGAGGCAGCAGUGAGGAAUAUUGGGCAAUGGAGGCAACUCUGACCCAGCCAUGCCGCGUGCAGGAAGAAUGCCCUAUGGGUU